CAUAAUUUGGCCAGCCCAAAAUAAUUACUACUGGUACUAAAUGUUCUCUUUCCUAUUCAUUGCUGUAUAUAUCCUAUCAAUUAGUGUAGAAAAGUUGCCAAUUGCAAAUAAAGCCACUGGCUAUUUCAAUCAAAUUAAAGAACCACUUAUUUUUGUACCAUCGUUUAGCUUCGAAGACAAAUUAAAUCAACAGGUUUCUUCUAAAAUUAUUACUAAUAAUAUUUCCUCUCUUAGCUUAUGAGAUGGGGGAUUCUCCAGCAAUAGUGCAAUCACAAGUACAAGGCGAAAGGAGUAUAAAGGGUAUGUGAUAAAUUUUGCAACUUCACUGUUAUCAACGUAUAAGAGGGUGACCAAGCUAAAGGAGAAGAAAUCACCUCUGAGAACAUUGGGACUGAAUUAAAAGCUCCAACUUUGGUACAAUACAAAUGGUGGAUCCAAAUAGUCACUUAUUCAAUAUUUGUUCUAUGUAGCCAAUCUAUAGGUACACUCUUAG
This is a long non-coding RNA of Capsicum annuum, 493 nucleotides long. RefSeq lists it as uncharacterized. NCBI's taxonomy places the organism in Eukaryota, Viridiplantae, Streptophyta, Magnoliopsida, Solanales, Solanaceae. The transcript is spliced from 3 exons. The record is from RefSeq and is a predicted model, not a curated record.